CUUAUAUAGGAUACUCUCUCUCACUCACUGCUCAGCAAUAGCUUACAUGUUUCAGAUGUCAGAUGAGGUGCUGAACGAACUGAACCUUAUCAAAUUCAACACAUCAGAUGAAGGCAGAAGGAGACUGAUACCAGCUGUGAGGAACUGCAGAAAAGCCCUACUGUCUGAUUGUAAACUCACUGAUCAGUGUUGUGAAAGUCUGGCUACAUCUCUACAAUUAAAUUCCUCAUUGAGAGAGCUUGACCUGAGUAACAAUGACCUGAAAGAUUUAGGAGGGAAGCUGCUCUUUGAUGCCCUGAAGAGUCCAAACUGCCAACUAAAGAAACUGAGAUUGUCCAUCUGUAAUUUAACUGAACAGUGUUGUGUAAGCCUGGCUUCAGCUCUUCAAUCAUCAAACUGUCUAAAGGAGCUGGACCUGAGUAACAAUAACUUGAAAGAUUCAGGAGUGAAGCUGCUCUCUGAUGCACUGAAGAGUCCAAACUGCCAACUGGAGGAGCUGAGAUUAUCUGGCUGUAUGGUGACAAAGGAAGGCUGCUGUCAUCUGGCUUCAGCUCUGAGUUUAAAUUCCCAUUUGAAAGAGCUGGAUCUGAGCUAUAAACACCCUGGAGAUUCAGUGUUCAUUACUAGAAAGGAGGAUCCAAACUGCAAACUGGAAAAACUCUGUCUGGAUCACGGCGGAGAGAACAUGAUUAAAGCAGGACUACAAAAAUAUUUCUGUGAUCUCACACUGGAUCCAAACACGGCACACAAUCGUCUUUCUAUUUCAGAGGGAAACAAAAAGUUGUUAUAUAAUUCAAAACCGAUGUCAUAUCCUGAUCAUCCAGAGAGAUUUGACUGCCGUCAGCAGGUUCUGUGUAAAGAGCGUCUGUCUGGACGCUGUUACUGGGAGGCUGAAUGGAGUGGGGAGGGUGACAUGGCAGUGUCAUAUAAACCAACCACCAGGAAAGAUUCUGGCUUGUUUGGAAGCAAUAAAAAAUCCUGGGUUCUAGGCUGCUUUGGGCACAAAUUGAUUGUACGGCAUGAUAAAGUGCAAAGACACUGUCCUCCCCCAGCACUUCCUUUAAACAGAGUAGCAGUGUAUCUGGACGAGGCGGCCGGGAUCUUGUCCUUCUUCACCAUCUCUGACACAAACACACUCAGACAUUUACACACAUUCAAAACCACAUUCACUGAACCCCUCUAUGCUGGAUUUGUGCUUUAUAACCAUUCAGUGUCUCUGUGUGAUGUUAAACAACAGGAUGAAUAAUUACAAGAUAUACAGUAGCGCCAAAAACUGUUUAGUCUUAUGAGACAAUUACAAAUGUCAAAACAAGUGCACUUCAUUUUAUAGAAUUUUUGUAGAAAUAUAUAUUUCAAUCAAAACAUUUCACAGAAAGAGGUUUGUUACAUUUUUAGAUAUUAAAAAGUGAAUAUGUAUUGUUUAAAGUGAAGAAAAAAAUAGUGUAAUAUCGAAGAUAGUUUUGGAAAUACAAGGUUCAGGUUCAGUGUCUUUCACACAGAAUCCACAUAAAUUAUUUUCCCACCUAAAUCUUUCAUGUUAGAAGUGAUUGGAUGAAUAAAUGUCAUUCAAAAUUUUAACUCGCUUCUUUGGUUUUAAGAAGUGAAGGAUCUGAGGAUCUUCAAAUGCAAACUGUGUAGCUGCAUUUCAAUUACCCUUCAAGAUGCGCAAAUUUAAAUUGCGAAUUGAAAAUACGGCUAUUGAAAACACGUAAAUUUCGCUAAAAACUCCCAUAUAUUGCAAAAAAAAUUUUACGCUCGCAUGAGGUGGUUUUUUAGGCAAUUCGAAAAAGGAAUUUUUCGCAAAACUGCAAUGGGAAAAAGCUUUUUGGUAUAUGUAAAAAAUCAUAUGAUCAUUGUGCAGUGUACUAUAAACUCCAAGAAUCACUUCAUACGUAGCCGCUUUCAAGUAUAAGGGGCUUUCCCUGAUAAUAAUGCUUAGACUAUGUAUGCUGCAUGCAUCUGUGGCACAUAACGGCUCUGAUGCGGUCACCGAAGCUGAUGUUAUAUUUAUAUCAGCAGCGUCGCACACGUUUCUAAAGCGGCUGUCCAUGCUGCUUCUGUAAAGAUACACGCAUACGCCUCUUUCGAUUAAACAAAGCCAAAAUCCAUUGCUAUGAAGACAGCAACCAUACAUUUGUGUUGUUUUACUUUUUUAUAUUCUUCUUUUAUAUAUUACUUCUACAUUUUUAUAUUCUUCAUUUGUGUAUUCAUUUAUAAUCAUUUAUCAUUUAAUCAUUUUAUUAUUCCAUUCAAUCAUAUAAUCAUUUAUAAUAAUCAUUUAUAUGCCCAUUUAUAUUUUUUCCAUUGUUGUUUAGUCUUAUGACUGUGAUGUUUUAAGAGCUGUUACUUGCAGUAAAAACACUGUAUUUGUAUUUACAGUACCAUUUAACUUGCUGUAAAUGUAGUUACAGUCUGUCUACUAUACUUUUACAGUUUUUAUUUUUUGUUUGUAUUAUUUUCGUUUUACAGUUUGUAUUUUUACUGUAUUUUUACUUGUGAAAUAUACAGUAAUUUUAUGGUCUUUU
RNA transcript from Labeo rohita (rohu), 2525 nucleotides. It is a transcript of the gene named ribonuclease inhibitor, with no coding region annotated. The record is from RefSeq and is a predicted model, not a curated record. Lineage: Eukaryota; Metazoa; Chordata; Actinopteri; Cypriniformes; Cyprinidae. The transcript has 7 exons.